This 1340-nucleotide ribosomal RNA is filed under the name uncultured bacterium. Its description in RNAcentral is "bacterial SSU rRNA". It matches the Rfam family "Bacterial small subunit ribosomal RNA", at positions 28 to 1381 of the family's 1533-position model. The record is from RNAcentral.
GACGAACGCUGGCGGCGUGCUUAACACAUGCAAGUCGAACGGAAAGGCCCUGCUUGCAGGGUACUCGAGUGGCGAACGGGUGAGUAACACGUGGGUGAUCUGCCCUGCACUUCGGGAUAAGCUUGGGAAACUGGGUCUAAUACCGGAUAGGAACCAUCUUUAGUGUGGUGGUUGGAAAGUUUUUUCGGUGUAGGAUGAGCUCGCGGCCUAUCAGCUUGUUGGUGGGGUAAUGGCCUACCAAGGCGGCGACGGGUAGCCGGCCUGAGAGGGUGUACGGCCACAUUGGGACUGAGAUACGGCCCAGACUCCUACGGGAGGCAGCAGUGGGGAAUAUUGCACAAUGGGCGCAAGCCUGAUGCAGCGACGCCGCGUGGGGGAUGAAGGCCUUCGGGUUGUAAACUCCUUUCGCUAGGGACGAAGCUUUUUUGUGACGGUACCUAGAUAAGAAGCACCGGCUAACUACGUGCCAGCAGCCGCGGUAAUACGUAGGUGGCAAGCGUUGUCCGGAAUUAUUGGGCGUAAAGCGCGCGCAGGCGGAUCAGUCAGUCUGUCUUAAAAGUUCGGGGCUUAACCCCGUGAGGGGAUGGAAACUGCUGAUCUAGAGUAUCGGAGAGGAAAGUGGAAUUCCUAGUGUAGCGGUGAAAUGCGUAGAUAUUAGGAAGAACACCAGUGGCGAAGGCGACUUUCUGGACGAAAACUGACGCUGAGGCGCGAAAGCCAGGGGAGCGAACGGGAUUAGAUACCCCGGUAGUCCUGGCCGUAAACGAUGGGUACUAGGUGUAGGAGGUAUCGACCCCUUCUGUGCCGGAGUUAACGCAAUAAGUACCCCGCCUGGGGAGUACGACCGCAAGGUUGAAACUCAAAGGAAUUGACGGGGGCCCGCACAAGCGGUGGAGUAUGUGGUUUAAUUCGACGCAACGCGAAGAACCUUACCAGGUCUUGACAUUGAUGGACAGAACCAGAGAUGGUUCCUCUUCUUCGGAAGCCAGAAAACAGGUGGUGCACGGUUGUCGUCAGCUCGUGUCGUGAGAUGUUGGGUUAAGUCCCGCAACGAGCGCAACCCCUAUCUUAUGUUGCCAGCACUUCGGGUGGGAACUCAUGAGAGACUGCCGCAGACAAUGCGGAGGAAGGCGGGGAUGACGUCAAAUCAUCAUGCCCCUUAUGACCUGGGCUACACACGUACUACAAUGGGAGUUAAUAGACGGAAGCGAGAUCGCGAGAUGGAGCAAACCCGAGAAACACUCUCUCAGUUCGGAUCGUAGGCUGCAACUCGCCUACGUGAAGUCGGAAUCGCUAGUAAUCGCAGGUCAGCAUACUGCGGUGAAUACGUUCCCGGGCCU